This 261-nucleotide unclassified non-coding RNA is filed under the name fungal sp. RNAcentral describes it as "partial internal transcribed spacer region". The stretch from base 1 to 46 matches the Rfam family "Eukaryotic small subunit ribosomal RNA", at positions 1786 to 1831 of the family's 1831-position model. Lineage: Eukaryota; Fungi. The record is from RNAcentral.
AAGUCGUAACAAGGUCUCCGUAGGUGAACCUGCGGAGGGAUCAUUCACAUGAUUACCUUUUCAACAAACUGUGAACUUUAUAUUUACCAUUCGUGUGUGUAAAACUCGUUUUAUAUCACACUGUCAUUCGAUGAACAUUAGAUAACUGGCUUGAAGUCUUAACAACUUCUUUCUCAGUUGAUUGCUUGUAUUGACUAAACAUCUUACAACAAUCGCCAUAAAACAUAGAAACAACUCUAUGCCCUGGAUAUCUUGGUUCUC